GACGAACGCUGGCGGCGUGCUUAACACAUGCAAGUUGAACGGUAUGACAUGGAAGCUUGCUGAAGUGUCAUAUAGUAGCGGACGGGUGAGUAAUGCAUGAGAAGCUGCCAUUGGGAGGGGGACAACAGUUGGAAACGGCUGCUAAUACCCCGUAUGCCGAAGGGUGAAAGGAAUUAUUCCGCCCAAUAAGGUGCCCAUUUCCUACCACCUGGUUGGUGGGGUAACGGCCUACCAAGGCAACAACGGGUACCCGGCCUGAAAGGGUGAACGGCCACACUGGAACUGAGAUACGGUCCAGACUCCUACGGGAGGCAGCAGUGGGGAAUAUUGGGCAAUGGGGGCAACCCUGACCCAGCGACGCCGCGUGGGGGAAGACGGCCUUCGGGUUGUAAACCUCUUUUGUACGGGAAGAAGGAAGUGACGGUACUGUACGAAUAAGUCCCGGCUAACUACGUGCCAGCAGCCGCGGUAAUACGUAGGGGACGAGCGUUGUCCGGAAUUACUGGGCGUAAAGGGCGCGCAGGCUGUGCUGCAAGUCAGCUGUUAAAUGUCUGGGCUUAACCCGGGCAUGCGGUUGAAACUGCGGUGCUGGAGUGCUGUAGAGGCAAGUGGAAUUCCCAGUGUAGCGGUGAAAUGCGUAGAUAUUGGGAAGAACACCGGUGGCGAAGGCGACUUGCUGGGCAGCAACUGACGCUGAGGCGCGAAAGCCAGGGGAGCAAACGGGAUUAGAUACCCCGGUAGUCCUGGCCGUAAACGAUGAAUGCUAGGUGUGGGUGUAGAGAUACAUUCGUGCCGGAGUUAACGCGAUAAGCAUUCCGCCUGGGGAGUACGGUCGCAAGACUGAAACUCAAAGGAAUUGACGGGGGCCCGCACAAGCGGUGGAGCACGUGGUUUAAUUCGAUGCAAA
RNAcentral lists this ribosomal RNA (907 nucleotides) under uncultured bacterium. RNAcentral describes it as "bacterial SSU rRNA". It matches the Rfam family "Bacterial small subunit ribosomal RNA", at positions 28 to 960 of the family's 1533-position model. The record is from RNAcentral.